GAGUGAGAGGAGAGGAAAAAAGGGGAUGGAUACGGAUCUGAGACUUGGGACCCAUGAGUACAAGCUGGUAGAAAGACGGCCUUCUUUAUAGUGAGGAUUAACUCUGCUUUAGCAAAUUUUUUACUUUGGUUUUCAAACUGGUAAAGUGUCCACUGACAAUGCUGUGAACUAUUUCUUGAUGGGUCUUCUGGUAUCCACAGAAAAUGAGAAUCUGUGGAGGGAAAAUAAUACUUAAUCUGAACGGAAAGAGUCAAAGGUAUGGUCAGUGUUUCAAAAUAGGAGGGUAGAGCUUUUUGCCACUGUGGUCCAUCUCUAGGUUAAGUUUUUCCCCAUUUUGUGAGGAAAACAGAAAAACAAAUAAUCAGUUGCAAAGCAAUAGAAAAUGAGAGCUGAAUCUAGCAUUUAUUGAGCACCUAUUACAUUGUGGGCAGUUUUUAUUCUCAUCAUAUUACAAAGGGAGCUGGGAUUCGGAGAAGUUGAGUAUGUUAUUUGCAGUUACAGGAUUAUUAAGUGAUGAAAUGGGAUUUGAAUCCAGGUUUGGGUUUUUUUUCUGCGUGUAGCCCUCUGCUUCAUGGUUUACUGGCCCAGUGAAAUAAUUACUCUCAUAGGGCAAAAAUAGGACAUAACAGGAGCAUGUCAUGAGGAUUGACCAGCUCUGUCACAGGGAGUCUGGGAAGAUUCUACCCAGGACAUGGUAUCUGAGCUGGUGUUUUGUUUUGUUUUUCUUACUAAGAAAUCCGGAAGGGGUGAUCAGGGCAGAGGAAACACGUGUAAAAAAAAGCAGAGAAAUAUAAAAAAGCUUCACCUGUUCAUAAGCUAAGGUGGCACAUGCAGGAGCCAGACCACAAGGACCUUCAGUCUGUGGACGGUGGAUUUUUAUCCUGGAAGCUGUGGGCAGGCACUGGAUAAUUUUAAGCAGAUUUAAUCAGAUUUGAAUUUCAGGAAAAUCACCUAGUGGUGUAGAGGAAGGAUGGACAGGGAGAGAAAUAUAAGGCAGGAAGACAAGUCAGAGGGUCACUGUGAUUGUUCAGGGGAGAAAUGAUGAGAACCCACACUAAGGAAGUACCAGUGGGGAUUGUGACAGACUCAGAUUCAAAAAGAUAUUACAGUCACACGUCACUAGGGGAUUUUGUCAUUGUGCGAAUGUCGUGGAGUGUACUUGUGCAAAGCUAGACCAUAUAGCCUCUCACACACCUAGAAUAUAUGGUGUCAUUUUUAUGGGACCCCCAUUGUAUAUGUGGUCCGUUGUUGACCAAAACGUCAUUGUGUGGUGCGUGACCACGUGGGGCAUGCUCAGGAGGACUUGGAGACUGGUUGAAACUUGGAUGGUGAGAGAUGAGAGGAAUCUAGGAUGUUGCCUGGUCUCUGAUAAAGGUGAUUGGAGGGAUGGUGGUAUGUGGAAACUGGCUACUCCCGAGUGGUAGAAUCUUAGGGGAUGCAGCUGUGUCCAGAGUUAAGGUUAGAGGGGUUGGAACUAAAUGGGGAAGUCUAAAAUGCAACUAAAUAAUCGUGACUUAUUUGGCAAACUAUGAGGCUGCACCACUUAUUUUGAGGAAAGGUGAAGAAUUCAGGUUAUCCAUUUGCUUAUGUAAUACUUAUCAAAUGCUAAACAGUGUGCUAAGCAAGAAGUCAUGGUGCCUGCUUAGAAUCUACUGGAGGGGACAGAUAAGAGUUCAUUAUAUUGGGAAUCACAAGAUGUUGGAGGUGCUGGAAGGCUUCCAGUUUGGACAUGAAAUCUAAGCUGGACUUAAAGAAUGAGGAAGAGAAAGACUGAAAAAAAGAAAAAGGGAGAUUAGAGCAUUUUAGGCACAGAAAAUAGUGCCAAGACUCAGGGAAGGACAGUGUCAAUGCUGCAGCUCCAUCCUUGCUGACUCCCGGCUAGCGAGGUGUUAAUAAGGAAAGGA
This 1904-nucleotide long non-coding RNA is filed under the name Equus caballus (horse). RNAcentral's name for it is "lncRNA (ENSECAG00000047620.1)". Lineage: Eukaryota; Metazoa; Chordata; Mammalia; Perissodactyla; Equidae. The record is from RNAcentral.